Molecule: long non-coding RNA, 2711 nt
Organism: Anopheles gambiae (African malaria mosquito)
Lineage: Eukaryota; Metazoa; Arthropoda; Insecta; Diptera; Culicidae
Exons: 2
Source: RefSeq, a predicted model, not a curated record
GACGACAACGACGACGAUGGUACGAACUGUGUGUGUGCGUUGUGGGAUGCGCGAAACGACUAAGCGAAGUACGACGACGGUUGGGUCAUUUCGACACUGCGACACCACCGGGACACUGCCGGCUUCUUCCAUCAAAACUGCACACAAUCCUAAUUCUCUCAUCGGAUGCUGUGUUGUCUCGUUCCCGUUUCGCGUGUGUUCGUUUGUGUAGUUUUUAUUUUUUGUUUCUACUUCUACACGCACUUCAGCACAGUUUGAGCAAACACUUCCCCCCAUGUAUACGUAUCUGGUAGUGUCGUGUAAAAAAAAAUGAUGACGUCAUGACUUCACGCUAUAAUCGAAGCUUAAGCGCACUGUCCUAAGGGCUAAUUGUUAGACGCAGAAAAAACAUAGCACAACGUGGAUAAGUUAAUCGUCAUCGGGCCGAACGUCGUCAACCUUACAAUCUGCUGACUAACACCUGCACCGAUCGCGCGAUUUGUGAUCCAUCGUACGACCGCGAAGGCUAUCGAUUUACAAUAAUGAUGUUUGUGUGUAAGUGUUGGCGGGGGAGUGGGGGGCGGUUGUAGAAGAUGCAGUUGUAGCAACAAAACAAAACAUUCCCUCCCCGGGCCGGUCACUCGACCACAACCACGACAAACCAAAAGCGGCACACACGCGUUUUUUUAAGGGCAAUUUCGUGCCCCACCGUUAUGCUGACCGAGCACCUUUUUUGACGACCUUUUUGACACACGUGUAGUACGGUUGCCAUAAGCAACGACACGUUAGCCGUGGCUGCAUAUGGCUUUGGGUGCAUUUUUAUCGUGUUCUUGAUAUGGUGCUUGCGGCUGGUUGGGGAGGGAGCUGGACAAUUAUUGCCGGCGUCUGAACGUGUGCAAUCGAUAGAGAAGUUACGAUGGAAUGUCUUCCUGCUUCCUAGAAUGCGCUAAAAGAAUAUUGUGUGAGAGUAAAAACUAAGGUAAAUAAAUUAAAGCAAUAGAAUCUCUUCUCUAUGAUAAAAUUGUAGUAGAAGCUGAUCAGCGUUACUUUCCAGCGGUAGCUUGGAUGCUUUUUGCUUAGUUUACAUCCAUGCAAUGGCAACCGCUUUGGUUAUGGAAAACGCAACGCCGACUUAGUUUUUAAUGAUUGGAAAGGUUAGUAGAAGAAUAAUGCAAAUUACAGUCACAAUUCAAUGGAUUAACGCUUUUCCAUGGGUUUUCGAGAGUUGUCAAUUUCCCAAAAAGUGAUGCAAGGAUCUGUUCAGGAAGCCACAAAGACAGAAAAUAUGUGUGCUAAUGGUUAUGGGGCCCCACCACUGUCAUGCAUGCAUGCUAUGCUAUACAUGCUUUCGAAACUUAUGAAGUACCACGCAGUCGGAUAGAUAGUCAGUCAUCAAAAUCCUUGCUUAGGGCGACAGUCCAUACGAGGCUUGAACCCAGGACGGGCAUGUUAUGUUGCUAAGUCUUCCGAGUUGACGAUUAUACUGCAGGUAGUGGCGGGUUUACAGUGUUGGAGACCCUAAACGGUAAGAAUUGUUGAGGCCUUCUGUAUAUGAUUACCUGUGUGUACCCAUAAUCCGUCGUGGAUAAUGUAACAUUUCAACUAAAAUUUUGUUGCUGCUGCUGGUGGGGGGGGGAUGCAUAGGGUUCGUCUAGCACGGGACCCCAACGUCCAUCACCCACGGAGCCCUCCUUGGUAAUACAGUGCUAUAUUCUAUCAACUGUUAUAGAUACUGGACUAAAGUAGACUCGAUAGUUCCAUGACUAACAUAAAUGCUGGUAAUAUUUUUGGACCCAAAUUUAAAACUAGCAGUAUCAGGGCCUGCAAUGGGGGCAGGAUCUGUUUUAGGACCGAUAUAGAAUAUUAAUCAGUUCAAGGACCGGAAUGGUUUUGUGAUCAGUUCCAUUACCGGUAGGUACUAGGUUUCAGGAUCUGUAUGGAUUCAGUGUAAGUUCUGGUAUGGGUUCGGGAUCAAUUCCAGAACCGGUACGGCUUUGGGAGCAAUUCCAGGACCGGUAUAGAGUCAAGAUCAAUUGCAGGACCGGUGUGGGAUCGGGAUCAAUUCCAUGACUGGUAUGAUGUUAGGAUCAUUUAAAGCAGUGCUCCCCAACCUUUUUAGGAUCGCACAUCCGUUCAGGGCAUACAUUUUUAAGAUUUAGUUCAAAGUUUUUUUUAUCAAACAUAUGUUUAAAUCUCAUUCUAGACAUUUCUGUUGAACAUUUAUUACUGAUUGUGAGGAAAAAUAAAAAAAAGCUUUUCUUUUGCAAAAAUAAAUUGUUUCGCGGACUACACCUGUUAACGCUACGGACCACAGGUUGGAGAGCACUGAGUGAAAGGACCGGUAAUGGGUUAGAAUCAGUUCCAAGACCAGUGUGGCUUGUUCUAAGACCUUUAUGGGAUUGGAAUCAGUUCCAGCAUCAGUAUGAUAUCUCUAAAAUUCCAGCAUCGACAUGCGUUCAUGAUUAGGCACAGGAUCGGUAUGGGUUCUUAACCAGUUUCUCUUAAUGUGUCCCUUGGAGUUAAAAAUCCCAUAGAAUUUGCUUUGUCUUUUAAGAAAUCCAUUGCUCGCAUCCUAAAGAUAUAAAAUGUCUUGAAAUUAGCUUGCAUAACCCUGUAACCGGGACAAAUUAUCUAGUUUGAAAAGAAAAUAAAGAAAAAGUAAGAUUUAUAAAAAUCAGUAAAAGUAGUUUUACAUAAUAAAUAUGUAAUCGAGCAUAAUAAAAUAAUAAUAA